Molecule: long non-coding RNA, 482 nt
Filed under: Pan troglodytes (chimpanzee)
Lineage: Eukaryota; Metazoa; Chordata; Mammalia; Primates; Hominidae
Description: long non-coding RNA NONPTRT015653
Source: RNAcentral
GCUCACUGCAACCUCUGCCUCCCGAGUUCAACCCAUUCUCCUGCCUCAGCCUCCUGAGCAGCUGGGACUACAGGCGCCCACCGCCACACCCAGCUAAUUUUUGUAAUUUUAGUAGAGAUGGGGUUUCACCAUAUUGGCCAGGCUGGUCUCGAACUUAAAAUAAAUAAAAUAAAAUAAAAAGCCUGGAUGCAGAAGGUUGGAAAGACGUGACUGUGCGCCAGCAUCAGAGGCAGCUGUCAAGCAAAACAAGACUCCCUGGGGAUUGUUAGAACUAGCUAAAUAAAAUUUUUAAAUUGGAGGAAAUCAGCACCAGUCAUUCAAAUUAAUAAGGUAAUAUCACACCUUUUAACACCAACACAUUAUAACUUAGUCUAGUUACAGUCUACCUUUAUUUACAAUAAUAAGGAUGAAUUCCAGAAACAGAGAAGUUGCUUUUAACCAAGAGUUUGCUUCUAAGCUAAUCAUUCUGCCAAAUAAGUAAA